Long non-coding RNA from Drosophila hydei, 728 nucleotides. RefSeq lists it as uncharacterized. NCBI's taxonomy places the organism in Eukaryota, Metazoa, Arthropoda, Insecta, Diptera, Drosophilidae. The transcript is spliced from 3 exons. The record is from RefSeq and is a predicted model, not a curated record.
AACACAACAAAAUUUUUGCGUGCUAGCAAAGUUCAGGCAAUCUCAAUGAAAACACGCAAAAAACAGAAAACAAAACAAGAAACAAAAAAAGCAAAAGCUUUGCAACUUUUAUCGGACAUCAACCUGUGACAAAUGUCUGUGCGGCUCUGUGUAUAUGUGUGUGCUGUUUAUUGUUGCCGCUCGUUGUAAAUACAUAUCAAAGCAAAGCUAGCAACUCCCCCCUUCCACUACACCGCCAAUUCGCCGCGUUUAUGCGCUCAGCCUCUGAGCUUAAAAGCAAAAGGCAAAAAGCAAAAUCACUAAACGAAAAUCCAAACCCGGAACUUACGGACUUAAUCGAAUUUGUUGUCGAUCAGCGGCCAACAAAAUAAUAACAGCUGCUUGUACGACUGGCGUUGGCGUCGACGCCGACGUCGCAGCGACUUAAAUACAUACAUUUGAUCAUGCUGCCUGAUGACGACAAUGCUUACUGGUAUAGUUACAGGACGGGAGGGCUGGAAGACUACCACCUGUUCACUUAUUUAUUAUCCUGAACUAAAUGAAAGCCGCUGUCUUAUCAAACAUUUAUUAAUUUGAAGUAAAAUGUAAAAAUGUUCAGCCGAAAUAAUUAUGAAUCAGCGGUAUAAUAAACCAAUAUAUAUAUGGGGGAAAUAUGGAAAAGUGAAAUAUGUAACGGAACGAACAUGAAUUGCAAAUUAUUACGCAUGUAUUGCAGUGUGUGGGAGAGA